CUAGUGGUGCGGAUGAGUCCUGACACCAGCCCGCAGAUCUGGUUGCCUCGAUUACUGUAUGCAGAAAGGUCAAUUUUUGGCAAGUCCUUGUGCUUGUAAUUGGGAUCAAUCUGCUGGUUCAGCUGCAGCAGUUCCUCCUGAAUUGAAUAAAGGCGACGUAAUCUUUCCUGGCCUUCUUCCCUACGCAGUCGCUCCUGCUCUUCCUGGCGCUGCCUCUGCUGCUCUGCCUCACGCAGCUUUAGGUUCAGUAUCUUCGCUCUGUGUCGGUGCUCUUCUUUCAGCUUCUCUUGCUGCCCCUGAGUUUCCUUUAAACUCUUCUCCAUCACCUCCCGCAGCUCUUGGAUCUCCUGACGCCGCUUCAGCUCCUUCAUUUCAUCAAAAC
Molecule: long non-coding RNA, 382 nt
Filed under: Gallus gallus (chicken)
Lineage: Eukaryota; Metazoa; Chordata; Aves; Galliformes; Phasianidae
Source: RNAcentral